GUGGGGCCGGCGCGGCCCCGUGAGGGGCUCCAGCGCCCGGCGCGGGGGAGCCGCGGCGGGCUGGGCGGGGAGGCAGGUGGAACCCGGCGCUGUCACUUCGAGAAGCCGCGGCUCUGACGGGUUUUGAGCCGUAAAAAGCCAGCGGGCGAGCUGGGUUCAAGCUGGGACCCGCCGCUUUUACCUCUUGUUCCUUGGCCGGCAUAAGAUGGGGCACAAAGCGACCUGAUACCGCAAGGAAAAAAACUUCUUCUCUGCUCGCUUUCCUGUUUCCCGUAAGUGGAAGGAAGAAUGCACGAAAAGAAAUGAAUUAGCCGCAGUUUGUAACGGCUCAGGACUGUGCUCAGGGAGACGAGGUGCAGCGUUGCAGCCUUCCAGGAGGAUGGUGGUACUCUUCAGGUCUCUCCCGACUGCCGAGGAGGGACAGUGAAGCACUUAAUGGAAGAUACAAACUGCCUGAAGGCAAGAUGGAUGGCUGUCUACAGCAGCAGUCAGGGUAGGAAUUGAGUCUUUUGUCUUUGGCUGGAUUGCACAAAUAAAUACAUGCUUUGAAUACUUUUUCCACCCGUGGUCUGAGUACAGUGCUGCUACUGAGCUGCAGUGAAGAUUGGGACCAGCAGAAAAUAUGCAGGAAAACAAAGCUUUUUAAAGGGUUGGGGAAGCUAGUUUUGUAGACACCAAGGGAAAGGGCUUUAAAUCAUGGCAGGUUUUAAAUUUGUGAAUGUGGGUGUGGAGUUAAAUAGCUGGGUGCAGGAGAAUUGCCAAGGGAGCAGUCUGUAAUGAAAAGAUGAGAUGGAUGUGUGCCUUAAAUGGAGUCAAUGAAAUAAGAAAUGUACUGAAUGUUUUCUGAAGUCCUUUUUAAGUUACUUCUGUUGGUAAUGGCAACAGUUAUGCCCCCAUGCAGUUUGCACAAUAAUGGCAAAUAUAGGGAGUUACCAGGGUUCAGUGAAUGUGUGUUAACAUGGGAUAUUAAUUUAGUUUGCAUCUUUUAUCUCACAUUAAAUGCUGUGAUUAAAUUAAAAGGAUUUAAUUGAGAUGCAUAA
This is a long non-coding RNA of Rhea pennata, 1040 nucleotides long. RefSeq lists it as uncharacterized. Lineage: Eukaryota; Metazoa; Chordata; Aves; Rheiformes; Rheidae. The transcript is spliced from 2 exons. The record is from RefSeq and is a predicted model, not a curated record.